RNAcentral lists this long non-coding RNA (224 nucleotides) under Elaeis guineensis (African oil palm). RNAcentral describes it as "long non-coding RNA (EGUI_LNC024745)". Lineage: Eukaryota; Viridiplantae; Streptophyta; Magnoliopsida; Arecales; Arecaceae. The record is from RNAcentral.
GCUGCAUGUUUGUGCUGAGUGACAAAUUAAUAUAACCGCAUUGUGCAAUGAAUUUGGAAAAUAUUAGUAUUAAACAUAUUACAAUAGUAUUUGAGGCCUUCUGGAUAAAUUUUGCCUGGACUUUUGCUAUACAUUGGGAAUGGUUACUUUUGAAUGCAUCAACUGACAAUCUCAUUAUCAUCAUGCUCCGAACACAAAUCCCAGAGUCCAUCAUGCAUCUAUGG